GGAAUUCUAAAAAUGUAAAAAUUACAAAAAAAAAAAACUAAAUUAACUAAGCAAUUGAAAAUUGAAAGUCUGAGUCCCUUGGUGCCGUGGGCCACUUUGUUUCUUUCUUUCUUUUCUUUUCUUUAAUUUGCAUGCAAUUGUUUCAUCUUUCUUUCCACUUUAUUUCUAUUUCUUUAUUAUGUUUUCAUUUUAUUAUCUUUAUUAUUAUUAUUAUCAUUAUUAUUAAAGUUACUUUAAUAUAUAACAUAUACACAAGCAAAUUCAUUAAACCAUAACAGGCCAACUCCCACCAUUUUAAUAAAUGGUAAGUUUGCUACUUUAGUCCCUUCUAUUUCUUUCAAUCUAUAAUUCAACUUUUAACCCUUACGCGAUUUAGUCCCUAUACCUUAAUAACUUCUAAUUCACGAAAUUUACUAAUCCAAAAAUUAAUUGGCUACUAAGUUAGCCUCGUAAAUAUAUAAUAAAAAUAUUUACGAGUCCGGUUUACGAAAACGGAGUCUCCAAAAUACAUUUUUCGACACCCCUAACUAUUGGGUCGUUACACACCCAAUUACAUUUUCUAAUCUUUAGGGGAAGGGUGAGAAUUGGAGUAAUUAGGCGGUAAUUACAUCCAAAUUUAAUUACCCUUUGACUUUCCAAACGCGUAUUCACAAGUAUCAAACUAUUACAAGCGGACUGUCUAAGUAACUACCAAGUAUAAUCAAACUGAUACAGACCAUUCUAAAGCCAACUAAAUAGACUAAAACUCUCAUACAAGAUGAGACUCAAAGACCUAUACAUAUAAUUGCUGUAAAACUCAAAUUCUGCCCGGGCCCGCCUACACAAAAUAAAACCAAAUAAAAUAAAUUAAUGUCCAUUUACAUUGGCCCAAAACAAUACAGCCCAAAUGACCCAAUUACAGAAACCCAAACCCAUUUUCAAAAAAAAAAAAAACCUAGCCUAGGCAGAAACAAGCUCAGCCGCUGCACGCCCCAAUAGUAGCCACCAGCCACUGCCCUUACCCACGCGCGCUACCACGCGCCUUCAGCUGGCCUUGUACCUACAACAAACGCAAACAACCAGCAAGGGAAAGCAAGCAUAAUGAAAUAACAGCAAAAAUAACAGAGAAAAAUAUAAAAGAAAAAUAAAUAUUUUUUUGUAAUUUCAUUAUAUUCGGCUAUAUAAAGCUGAUUGUGGCAUUUGUAAAAGGAUUCACGCAUAUAAUCAAUAAAAAAGGAAAUGUUACAAAAACGAAAUAAAAAAGUUUUCUGUGAUUUAUAUUUAUUUUUUUCGUUUUUUAUUUCUUUAAUUUUUUUUCUUUUUUGUAAAGAAUAAUAGAAAGGGGAAGAGAGAGGACUUACCGAGUGUCUGUGGUCUCCUCGUCGGCUUAGAUCACCGUCCUUGGCAGAGCCAUGGCGAAGGAUCGGCGGAUACGGUGACAGCAUGGGGCUAGGGUCGAAACCCUAGCAGAGAAAAGAAGGAGUAGCAACUUUUUUUUAAAACAUAGGCUGUAGUGU
Molecule: long non-coding RNA, 1496 nt
Filed under: Gossypium barbadense (sea-island cotton)
Lineage: Eukaryota; Viridiplantae; Streptophyta; Magnoliopsida; Malvales; Malvaceae
Description: long non-coding RNA (GBAR_LNC013750)
Source: RNAcentral